UCCGGCUUGACACCGGCAGUCUCCUUAGAGUGCCCGGCUUGACCCGCUGGUAACUAAGGACAAAGGUUUCGCUCGUUAAGGGACUUAACCCGACAUCUCACAACACGAGCUGACGACAGCCAUGCAGCACCUGUGCACGUUCCACGGCAAGCCGCGUCACCGAUGUUUCCACCGACUAAUCCGUGCAUGUCAAAUCUAGGAUAAGGUUCUUCGCGUAGCCUCGAAUUAAGCCACAUGCUCCACCGCUGGUGUGAGCCCCCGUCAAUUCCUUUGAGUUUCAGCCUUGCGACCAUACUCCCCAGGCGGGGUACUUAACACUUUCGCUACGGCAGAAGGCGCUAUCGGAGCGCUUUCUACCCAGUACCCAUCGUUUAAGGCUAGGACUAC
Molecule: unclassified non-coding RNA, 387 nt
Filed under: uncultured Planctomycetia bacterium
Lineage: Bacteria; Pseudomonadati; Planctomycetota; Planctomycetia
Description: contains 16S-23S intergenic spacer region
Source: RNAcentral